This 116-nucleotide ribosomal RNA is filed under the name Pseudomonas putida. The record is from RNAcentral. Lineage: Bacteria; Pseudomonadati; Pseudomonadota; Gammaproteobacteria; Pseudomonadales; Pseudomonadaceae. RNAcentral also lists the same sequence under 25 other names.
CUUGACGACCAUAGAGCAUUGGAACCACCUGAUCCCAUCCCGAACUCAGCAGUGAAACGAUGCAUCGCCGAUGGUAGUGUGGGGUCUCCCCAUGUGAGAGUAGGUCAUCGUCAAGA